AGGCGUCGAGUGGCGGACGGGUGAGUAAUGCAUAGGAAUCUACCUUAUAGUGGGGGAUAACGUGGGGAAACUCACGCUAAUACCGCAUAAUCUCUACGGAGGAAAGCGGGGGCUCUUCGGACCUCGUGCUAAAAGAUGAGCCUAUGUCAGAUUAGCUAGUUGGUAGGGUAAUGGCCUACCAAGGCGACGAUCUGUAGCUGGUUUGAGAGAACGAUCAGCCACACUGGGACUGAGACACGGCCCAGACUCC
RNAcentral lists this ribosomal RNA (250 nucleotides) under uncultured bacterium. Its description in RNAcentral is "partial 16S ribosomal RNA". It matches the Rfam family "Bacterial small subunit ribosomal RNA", at positions 86 to 339 of the family's 1533-position model. The record is from RNAcentral.